This is a long non-coding RNA of Pantherophis guttatus, 645 nucleotides long. RefSeq lists it as uncharacterized. NCBI's taxonomy places the organism in Eukaryota, Metazoa, Chordata, Lepidosauria, Squamata, Colubridae. The record is from RefSeq and is a predicted model, not a curated record.
UCUCUACUGUACUCUGUGUGUGUGAACAUGUCUGCUGAUCUGAGCUGAAGAAUCAACUAUUGGUCUAUUGCAAACAACUAACCUGGAGGUUUUAAAACUGGUAAAGGCUUGAUUCUCUCAACCACUCUUGGACUGAUGGGCAAAGGAUAUAGCAAGGAAGAGUUCACAUGAAGCACACCUUUGUGAUUAGAUUGCAAUGAUUAGGAAUUACAAUAAGAGCAAUCACGCCCAACAAGAAAACAGUCUCCAUCAACAGGUGAUAGCUGAUUUGGUGAUGCAACUCAGUUCUUACAAGAACCUCCGACUUAAGGUUGCUUCCUGCUCUGAUCAAUUUGAAUGACUGGUUCUGUUAAAUACAGAUGGUCAUUCUUUCCUCUCAAGUAAAACAAGUUGAGUCUGCUGGGAACAAUGGACUGAGAUUUGCAUUCAUUGUGGUCAGUGUCAGAAAACAGGGUAUGGGAUCAACAACCUUGCUUAUUAGUUUUUGGCAAGCCUGAUUAGAAAAACAAGGUUCGGGUUUAGCCUUAAGGAUGUUGAACCGCCACAUCAUGAGAUUUUAGAAGAAACCUGGUUUCAGUUCUUCGUUAUCAUUUUGAAAUUGCUAAUCAUGUUCUCUUAUAUACAAUACAAUGCAAUGCAAUGCAA